GUUGCGGUGGCCGAGUGGUUAAGGCGUUGGACUCGAAAGCCAAUUGGAUCUUCCCGCGCAGGUUCGAGUCCUUUCGGCAACG
RNAcentral lists this transfer RNA (82 nucleotides) under Nematostella vectensis (starlet sea anemone). It matches the Rfam family "tRNA". From Rfam's summary of the family: Transfer RNA (tRNA) molecules are approximately 80 nucleotides in length. The record is from Rfam by way of RNAcentral. Lineage: Eukaryota; Metazoa; Cnidaria; Anthozoa; Actiniaria; Edwardsiidae.